CAAAAUGCAUGAGGGAAAGCUCUGCGGUCCAAUUUGAUUUGAAAUGGGAUAACCUAGCCUGACCUCAUGAAACAUAAAUGUUGGACCUUUGUUGGAGAGAACUCAAUCAGGAUACGUGAGUUCAACUACAAAUGAAAAUCUCUUAAAGGAGUGGCACCAAUGUUGAAGUGAAAAUGACUCAAUCUCAAGCACCAAAGUACAAAUGAAACCAGUAGUGCAGGGUGUUCUUGAUUUAGUGCAGGGUGUUCUUGAUUCAGUGAGCGUAAACUAGCCAUUGGAAAGGAAGUGUUGCUGCUGUACAGGUGUGUAGAUCAUUUGAGGAAUAAAGAGGUGUAGCUGCUGCCAUGCUGGAAAUGCUUACACUGCCAUGUUGGAUUAAAUGAGUGAUGACCUGGACAUUGGCAAGUUGACACGAGUAUCUGAUCAGCCAAUUAAGGGACUCCAAGAGACAAAAGCAAAGCUGGGCAACAAAGACAACUAGAAUACUUGUGACUUGGACAAGUUGAAUAAAUGCACAUUUGGGAGACUUGAAGCACCAACACUCACAUGUUCUUGGCUUUAGUUUUACUUGUUACAUACAGUCUCUUAGGUGACUACCGUGUCGUCAACAUCGCCUUCAUUGGAGCUUUUACACGCUCUCAACGCCUUUUGAAGUUGUGAAUCUGUUGCUUUUUCCAUUGUGCAUGUGACAUGUCUCAUCUCCUCUUAGACAACGACUUAGAGUGUCGAUGUCGUUCUUUUUCCUCUUUCAGGUUCGUUGUGCAUUGUUGCAUGUCCCGUCUCCUCUCAGGCAACUAUUUAGAACAUUGAGGUUGGUCAUUUUCCUUUUUCUAGUGCCUUGAUUGGAGAAUUUUGGAUUUUUAAUGGUUUUUCUCUUCUGUUCAUCCAUGGCUUCUUCCUCUUCUAACCUUUCUUUUGUCACUAUUGCUUUUGAUUCGUCCAUAUAUAUUUUUUCUCUCGUGGCAAAGAUGAUUUUUGUUAAUUUAUUAAUAGUCGUGGUGACUCUUCAACAAUGAUCUAUUUAUCCACUGGAUGACAAUAAUGCAUUCCUUAAUGACGAUUUGUAAGAAGAGAUUUAUAUGGAGCAAUCUCCCAGAUUUGUUGCUUAGGCGAGUCUUUU
Long non-coding RNA from Vigna umbellata (rice bean), 1120 nucleotides. RefSeq lists it as uncharacterized. The record is from RefSeq and is a predicted model, not a curated record. NCBI's taxonomy places the organism in Eukaryota, Viridiplantae, Streptophyta, Magnoliopsida, Fabales, Fabaceae.